AAGGGACAGGGAAGGGACACUGGGGACACACUGGGGACAGGGAAGGGACACAGGGGACAGCCAGGGGACACAGGGGACACACAGACUGUCCCCAAACGGUGCAGCUCCUCCAGGUAAGGGACACACUGGGGACACUGGGGACAGGGAAGGGACACAGGGGACACUGGGGACAGCCAGGGGACAGGGAAGGGACAGGGAGGGGACUCAGGGGACACCGGGACAGCCAGGGGACACAGGGGACACACAGAGCAGGGACUGUCCCCAAACGGCGCAGCUCCUCCAGGUUCAUCAAGCGUCGGAAGUUCGAUGACGAGCUGGUCGAGUCCAGCCUGGCCAAGCUCCCAGUUAAUCCCAGUUCCAUCCCAGUUAACUCCAGUCCAUCCCAGUCAAUCCCAGCUCACUCCCAGUCCCUCCCAGUGCCUCCCAGUGACUCCCAGUCUGUUCCAGGUUCAUCAAGCGUCGGAA
Molecule: long non-coding RNA, 465 nt
Filed under: Zonotrichia albicollis (white-throated sparrow)
Lineage: Eukaryota; Metazoa; Chordata; Aves; Passeriformes; Passerellidae
Description: lncRNA (ENSZALG00000002192.1)
Source: RNAcentral